CAGAAGUGGCUACAUUGUAAAAACUAAGUUGGAUUUUCAUAGAAUGGUUUAGGAAGCUGCAAGCUUAAAGUUAAAUUUUAAAAGGUUGACAAAGCAGAUAAAAUAGUCCAUAGAGAAAGAAGUGAAGACGAGAAAAUACAUGGAAAAGGCCAGCCUUGACACAUGGGUGUACAGGUGCCACAGUACAGUUUGAAUGAAAAGGGAAGGAACUGAAACUAACAUUGCAUAGCAGAAGAAGACAGUCAAAGAGAAACAAGAACUGUGAAAAUGGAGACUAAACUUCGAAUGAUAAAAAGGAACAGUAAAUAGCAGAAUGUUCAUCACAGUAAGAUAUAUAACUAGUUAGAAAUGUAUUGAAGAAGAAAAGAGUCAGAUGAAAAGUUCCAUUUGUAUGUACAGAUUUCU
Mytilus trossulus (common blue mussel) is the source of this 405-nucleotide long non-coding RNA. RefSeq lists it as uncharacterized. Lineage: Eukaryota; Metazoa; Mollusca; Bivalvia; Mytilida; Mytilidae. The transcript has 5 exons. The record is from RefSeq and is a predicted model, not a curated record.